Molecule: ribosomal RNA, 311 nt
Filed under: Mucuna bracteata
Lineage: Eukaryota; Viridiplantae; Streptophyta; Magnoliopsida; Fabales; Fabaceae
Description: eukaryotic LSU rRNA
Source: RNAcentral
GAAUCGUAUCGGAGGAUGAUUGAAUCCCGGUACAUCGAGACGUUGAACGAAGUUGCGUCCGAAGCCAUUAGGACGAGGGCACGCCUGCCUGGGUGUCACACAUCGUCACCCCAAAUGCAAACGCCUCGAGCGCGCGCACAGGGUGGACGCUGGCCUCCCGCGAGCACCGUCUCGUGGCUGGUUGAAAACCGAGCCCGCGGCCGACCCGCCGCGACAAAAUGGGGAUGACAACGCUCGAACCGUCCGCGGCCGGCGACCCGAUCCCCAACCCCCCAACGGACCCCCACAACCUCGGCCCGCUAUUUAUACAA